Small nucleolar RNA from Nomascus leucogenys (northern white-cheeked gibbon), 59 nucleotides. NCBI's taxonomy places the organism in Eukaryota, Metazoa, Chordata, Mammalia, Primates, Hylobatidae. The record is from Ensembl.
GGAUAGGAGGGGAGUGACUCUGAGUGUGUCGCUGAUGCCAUCACCGCAGCGCUCUGACC